This 424-nucleotide ribosomal RNA is filed under the name uncultured bacterium. RNAcentral's name for it is "partial 16S ribosomal RNA". It matches the Rfam family "Bacterial small subunit ribosomal RNA", at positions 360 to 776 of the family's 1533-position model. The record is from RNAcentral.
AAUUUUUUACAAUGGGGAAAACCCUGAUCAACCCAUCCCGCGAGUACGAUGAAGGAGUUCGGUUUGUUAAGUACUUUUGGCAGAGAAGAAAAGGUAUCCCCUAAUACGGGAUACUGCUGACGGUAUCUGCAGAAUAAGCACCUACUUACUACCUGCCAGCAGCCGCGGUAAUACGUAGGGUGCAAGCGUUAAUCGGAAUUACUUGGCGUAAAGCGUGUGUAGGCGGUUCGGAAAGAAAGAUGUGGGAUCCCAGGACGCAACCUUGGAACUGCAUUUUUAUCUGACGAGAUAGAGUAAGUCAGAAGGGGGUAGAAUACAACGUGUAGCAGUGAAAUGCGUAGAUAUGUGGAGGAAUACCGAUGGCGAAGGAAGCCAUCUGGGAUAACACUGACGAUCAGACACGAAAGAGUGGGGAGCAAACAGG